This 130-nucleotide small RNA is filed under the name Salmonella enterica. Its description in RNAcentral is "RtT sRNA". It matches the Rfam family "RtT RNA", at positions 15 to 130 of the family's 130-position model. From Rfam's summary of the family: This family represents a bacterial cis-regulatory element known as RtT RNA. The record is from RNAcentral. Lineage: Bacteria; Pseudomonadati; Pseudomonadota; Gammaproteobacteria; Enterobacterales; Enterobacteriaceae.
UCGGAAGCCUGACGAGGAUGAGAACCUCCGGGGGCAAGAGGUUCGACCCGAGCGAAGCGAGAGAACGUUGCUUCAGCAACGGCCCGCAGGGCGAGCCACGCAGUGGCGAGUCAUCCUCUAUCACCGACCA